Molecule: ribosomal RNA, 497 nt
Filed under: uncultured bacterium
Lineage: Bacteria
Description: partial 16S ribosomal RNA
Rfam family: Bacterial small subunit ribosomal RNA
Source: RNAcentral
GAUGAACGCUGGCGGCGUGCCUAAUACAUGCAAGUCGAGCGAACAGACGAGGAGCUUGCUCCUUUGACGUUAGCGGCGGACGGGUGAGUAACACGUGGGUAACCUACCUAUAAGACUGGGAUAACUUCGGGAAACCGGAGCUAAUACCGGAUAAUAUAUCGAACCGCAUGGUUCGAUAGUGAAAGAUGGCUCUGCUAUCACUUAUAGAUGGACCUGCGCCGCAUUAGCUAGUUGGUAAGGUAACGGCUUACCAAGGCAACGAUACGUAGCCGACCUGAGAGGGUGAUCGGCCACACGGGAACUGAGACACGGUCCAGACUCCUACGGGAGGCAGCAGUAGGGAAUCUUCCGCAAUGGGCGAAAGCCUGACGGAGCAACGCCGCGUGAGUGAUGAAGGUCUUCGGAUCGUAAAACUCUGUUAUUAGGGAAGAACAAAUGUGUAAGUAACUGUGCACGUCUUGACGGUACCUAAUCAGAAAGCCACGGCUAACUACGUG